Molecule: ribosomal RNA, 400 nt
Filed under: uncultured bacterium
Lineage: Bacteria
Description: bacterial SSU rRNA
Rfam family: Bacterial small subunit ribosomal RNA
Source: RNAcentral
UGGGGAAUCUUGCGCAAUGGACGAAAGUCUGACGCAGCGACGCCGCGUGGGUGAUGAAGGCCUUCGGGUUGUAAAGCCCUGUGGAGAGGGACGAAUAAGGUGUGCCUAAUACGCACGCAGAUGACGGUACCUCUUUAGCAAGCACCGGCUAACUCUGUGCCAGCAGCCGCGGUAAGACAGAGGGUGCAAACGUUGUUCGGAAUUACUGGGCGUAAAGCGCGUGUAGGCGGCUUGGAUAGUCGGGUGUGAAAGCCCGGGGCUCAACCCCGGAAGUGCACUCGAUACUGCCAAGCUGGAGUCCCGGAGAGGAUGGUGGAACUCUCGGUGUAGAGGUGAAAUUCGUAGAUAUCGAGAAGAACAUCGGUGGCGAAGGCGGCCAUCUGGACGGUGACUGACGCUG